GAUGAACGCUAGCGGCAGGCCUAACACAUGCAAGUCGAGGGGUAGAAGGAGCUUGCUCCUUUGAGACCGGCGCACGGGUGCGUAACGCGUAUGCAAUCUACCUUGUACAGGGGAAUAGCCCAGAGAAAUUUGGAUUAAUGCCCCAUAGUAUAUAACCUUCGCAUGUUGGUUAUAUUAAAGUUCCAACGGUACAAGAUGAGCAUGCGUCCCAUUAGUUAGUUGGUAAGGUAACGGCUUACCAAGACGAUGAUGGGUAGGGGUCCUGAGAGGGAGAUCCCCCACACUGGUACUGAGACACGGACCAGACUCCUACGGGAGGUAGCAGUGAGGAAUAUUGGUCAAUGGUCGCAAGACUGAACCAGCCAUGCCGCGUGCAGGAAGACGGUCCUAUGGAUUGUAAACUGCUUUUAUACAGGAAGAAACCCUCCCACGUGUGGGAGCUUGACGGUACUGUAGGAAUAAGGAUCGGCUAACUCCGUG
RNAcentral lists this ribosomal RNA (480 nucleotides) under uncultured bacterium. Its description in RNAcentral is "partial 16S ribosomal RNA". It matches the Rfam family "Bacterial small subunit ribosomal RNA", at positions 28 to 507 of the family's 1533-position model. The record is from RNAcentral.